RNAcentral lists this ribosomal RNA (515 nucleotides) under Pseudomonas aeruginosa. RNAcentral's name for it is "partial 23S ribosomal RNA". It matches the Rfam family "Bacterial large subunit ribosomal RNA", at positions 665 to 1177 of the family's 2925-position model. Lineage: Bacteria; Pseudomonadati; Pseudomonadota; Gammaproteobacteria; Pseudomonadales; Pseudomonadaceae. The record is from RNAcentral.
GCCGCAGGGAAACCGAGUCUUAACUGGGCGUUACGUUGCAGGGUAUAGACCCGAAACCCGGUGAUCUAGCCAUGGGCAGGUUGAAGGUUGGGUAACACUAACUGGAGGACCGAACCGACUAAUGUUGAAAAAUUAGCGGAUGACUUGUGGCUGGGGGUGAAAGGCCAAUCAAACCGGGAGAUAGCUGGUUCUCCCCGAAAGCUAUUUAGGUAGCGCCUCGUGAACUCAUCUUCGGGGGUAGAGCACUGUUUCGGCUAGGGGGUCAUCCCGACUUACCAACCCGAUGCAAACUACGAAUACCGAAGAAUGUUAUCACGGGAGACACACGGCGGGUGCUAACGUCCGUCGUGAAGAGGGAAACAACCCAGACCGCCAGCUAAGGUCCCAAAGUCAUGGUUAAGUGGGAAACGAUGUGGGAAGGCACAGACAGCCAGGAUGUUGGCUUAGAAGCAGCCAUCAUUUAAAGAAAGCGUAAUAGCUCACUGGUCGAGUCGGCCUGCGCGGAAGAUGUAACG